GAUCCCAGAAAGGGCUGCACCAGGCAACCAGCUAUCGAACCACCAAAGAAUAACAAAAGAUGUCUCUGCAACCAGCAGUUUACAUGGUGCCUUGUGGGCCUCCUGUUUCCCGCUACUGGCAGGCAAAAGGCGCGAGCUGCUGAGGGAGGACAUUUCCAUAAG
Long non-coding RNA from Brienomyrus brachyistius, 162 nucleotides. RefSeq lists it as uncharacterized. NCBI's taxonomy places the organism in Eukaryota, Metazoa, Chordata, Actinopteri, Osteoglossiformes, Mormyridae. The transcript has 3 exons. The record is from RefSeq and is a predicted model, not a curated record.